RNAcentral lists this ribosomal RNA (223 nucleotides) under uncultured bacterium. Its description in RNAcentral is "partial 16S ribosomal RNA". It matches the Rfam family "Bacterial small subunit ribosomal RNA", at positions 524 to 744 of the family's 1533-position model. The record is from RNAcentral.
UACGUAGGGUGCAAGCGUUGUCCGGAAUUAUUGGGCGUAAAGAGCUCGUAGGCGGUUUGUUGCGUCGGCUGUGAAAUCCCGAGGCUCAACCUCGGGUCUGCAGUCGAUACGAGCAAACUAGAGUGUUGCAGGGGAGACUGGAAUUCCUGGUGUAGCGGUGAAAUGCGCAGAUAUCAGGAGGGAACACCGGUGGCGAAGGCGGGUCUCUGGGCAAACAACUGAC